AGUGAACGCUGGCGGUAGGCCUAACACAUGCAAGUCGAACGGCAGCGCAGUAAGAGCUUGCUCUUACGGGUGGCGAGUGGCGGACGGGUGAGGAAUACAUCGGAAUCUACUUUUUCGUGGGGGGUAACGUAGGGAAACUUACGCUGAUACCGCAUACGACCUACGGGUGAAAGCAGGGGAUCUUCGGACCAUGCGCGAUUGAAUGAGCCGAUGUCGGAUUAGCUAGUUGGCGGGGUAAAGGCCCACCAAGCCGACGAUCCGUAGCUGGUCUGAGAGGAUGACCAGCCACACUGGAACUGAGACACGGUCCAGACUCCUACGGGAGGCAGCAGUGGGGAAUAUUGGACAAAGGGCGCAAGCCUGAUCCAGCCAUACCGCGUGGGUGAAGAAGGCCUUCGGGUUGUAAAGCCCUUUUGUUGGGAAAGAAAAGCAGCAGGUUAAUACCCCGCUGUUCUGACGGUACCCAAAGAAUAAGCACCGGCUAACUUCGUG
RNAcentral lists this ribosomal RNA (492 nucleotides) under uncultured bacterium. Its description in RNAcentral is "partial 16S ribosomal RNA". It matches the Rfam family "Bacterial small subunit ribosomal RNA", at positions 29 to 507 of the family's 1533-position model. The record is from RNAcentral.